This 243-nucleotide ribosomal RNA is filed under the name Triticum aestivum (bread wheat). RNAcentral describes it as "partial small subunit ribosomal RNA". The record is from RNAcentral. Lineage: Eukaryota; Viridiplantae; Streptophyta; Magnoliopsida; Poales; Poaceae.
CUCCUCAACUCGGUGCCGUCAGCGUCCACGGUCUACUGGCUAGCCGUGUUUGCCUUGCCAUCUUCGGUGCGCAAGGAAAUCGAUCGGUUGCGCCGUGCAUGGCUAUGGCAUGGUGAGGAAACGUACCAUGGGGGGCACUGCAAAGUGGCAUGGGGGCGCGUGUGCCGACCACGGGAGUUGGGUGGUCUGGGCAUCAUCGACUUGGACCGGUUUCGGGUGGCCCUUCGCCUGCGAUGGCUCUGA